This 497-nucleotide ribosomal RNA is filed under the name uncultured bacterium. RNAcentral's name for it is "partial 16S ribosomal RNA". It matches the Rfam family "Bacterial small subunit ribosomal RNA", at positions 28 to 507 of the family's 1533-position model. The record is from RNAcentral.
GAUGAACGCUGGCGGCGUGCCUAAUACAUGCAAGUCGAGCGAACAGACGAGGAGCUUGCUCCUCUGACGUUAGCGGCGGACGGGUGAGUAACACGUGGAUAACCUACCUAUAAGACUCGGAUAACUUCGGGAAACCGGAGCUAAUACCGGAUAAUAUAUUGAACCGCAUGGUUCAAUAGUGAAAGACGGUUUUGCUGUCACUUAUAGAUAGAUCCGCGCCGCAUUAGCUAGUUGGUAAGGUAACGGCUUACCAAGGCAACGAUGCGUAGCCGACCUGAGAGGGUGAUCGGCCACACUGGAACUGAGACACGGUCCAGACUCCUACGGGAGGCAGCAGUAGGGAAUCUUCCGCAAAGGGCGAAAGCCUGACGGAGCAACGCCGCGUGAGUGAUGAAGGUCUUCGGAUCGUAAAACUCUGUUAUUAGGGAAGAACAAAUGUGUAAGUAACUAUGCACGUCUUGACGGUACCUAAUCAGAAAGCCACGGCUAACUACGUG